AUUGAACGCUGGCGGCAUGCUUUACACAUGCAAGUCGAACGGUAACAGGUCUUCGGAUGCUGACGAGUGGCGAACGGGUGAGUAAUGUAUCGGAACGUGCCCAGUAGUGGGGGAUAACUACUCGAAAGAGUGGCUAAUACCGCAUGAGAACUGAGGUUGAAAGCGGGGGACCUUCGGGCCUCGCGCUACUGGAGCGGCCGAUAUCAGAUUAGGUAGCUGGGCGGGGUAACGGCCCACCAAGGCGACGAUGUCUAGCUGGUCUGAGAGGAUGAUCAGCCACACUGGGACUGAGACACGGCCCAGACUCCUACGGGAGGCAGCAGUAGGGAAUAUUGGACAAGUGGGGGGAACCCUGAUCCGAGCCAUGCCGCGUGAGGGAAGAAGGUCCUCUGGAUUAGUAAACCUCUUUUGGCAGGAAACAAACCUGCGCUAUACGCGCAGCUGAGGGUACCUGCAGAAUAAGCACCGG
This 469-nucleotide ribosomal RNA is filed under the name uncultured bacterium. RNAcentral's name for it is "bacterial SSU rRNA". It matches the Rfam family "Bacterial small subunit ribosomal RNA", at positions 30 to 496 of the family's 1533-position model. The record is from RNAcentral.